RNAcentral lists this ribosomal RNA (422 nucleotides) under uncultured bacterium. Its description in RNAcentral is "bacterial SSU rRNA". It matches the Rfam family "Bacterial small subunit ribosomal RNA", at positions 355 to 774 of the family's 1533-position model. The record is from RNAcentral.
UGAGGAAUAUUGGGCAAUGCCCGAAAGGGUGACCCAGCAACGCCGCGUGGAGGAUGAAGGUCGUAAGAUUGUAAACUCCUGUUAGAGGGGAAGAAUAACUAAGUUUGGAGCUUAGUAUGACUGUACCCUCAGAGAAAGCCCCGGCUAACUACGUGCCAGCAGCCGCGGUAAUACGUAGGGGGCAAGCGUUGUCCGGAUUUACUGGGUGUAAAGGGCGCGCAGGCGGAAUGGAAAGUCAGUGGUGAAAUCCUACAGCUUAACUGUAGAACUGCCUUUGAUACUGGAAGUCUUGAGUUCGGGAGAGGUGAGUGGAACUGCGAGUGUAGAGGUGAAAUUCGUAGAUAUUCGCAAGAACACCAGUGGCGAAGGCGGCUCACUGGCCCGAUACUGACGCUGAGGCACGAAAGCGUGGGGAGCAAACA